GGCCUAUCUAGGCGAGAUUUUAGAGGGACAGGGCUCCAGCCGCUCUGCCUCAGACACUCUCAAAAUGCUCAAACUCUCAGACUUUCUCAAGCCCUGCAGACUCCACUUCACCCAUUCUGCUCCCCUGCCACUUCUGGGGAAUCCCACAAGUGUUCUUAUACCUCCAUAGUGCACAGAAAUAUCAGCAGAUAAGAAGACUACCAAACCCAGGAUUCCCAGACAAACACUGUGCCUGAUUGUGGGAGAAAUCGGAAACCCUUUGGAAUAAGCCUUGCAUUGAAAUAACCUGUUUUGCUCAAAUUCUGAUCUCCAUGUCUGGUUCAUUUCCCAGCCCCGUGUUUCCGGUGGACUGACAAUCAACUACCUCACUAAAUGUGCAAAGCUGUUUGGAGACAAAAUCCCGCCGCAGACACCAGAUGAACCAGUAAUGGGGGAUUUACCCAAAGAGACAGUUUUGAAGGCACCAUAGCAACCAACUGCCACGCAGUGGCCGCCUCACCACGCGGCUGACCAGAUAAUCGAGAGGUCACAGGAUCCCACUAAAGCCCAGAUGCACAUCCAUAGAAAAGGGGUGACAAGAGCAAUGAAAGAUAAUCCAGCAGAUGUCAUAAAAGGAGCUACGUGACCCGAACCAAGGGAGAGACGCCACGGCUGCAGUUUCAGCACAUGACCCAUUGCCUCCCGCUAUGUCCUAGCCAAAUCCCAUAAACGCGGCUGUUUUUCUUAGCCCAGUAUUUUUCCACUAAGCCCUUUAAAUUCUUUUACCCCCAAAUCUUGGUGAAGCGAUGAGUGGGAUCCCCCAUUCCGACUGUGUAUGUGCUGUGGUUCUAACCACUGUAACUUACUCUACGGUGUCUUGGAAGUGGAUUUCCCCGGCAUCUUCAACUAUCCUUUUGUUAUUGUAAUUUAGUUCUUCAGCAGAACUCUGUUUACCUGCCUAAUUCAU
This is a long non-coding RNA of Macrobrachium nipponense, 946 nucleotides long. RefSeq lists it as uncharacterized. NCBI's taxonomy places the organism in Eukaryota, Metazoa, Arthropoda, Malacostraca, Decapoda, Palaemonidae. The transcript has 3 exons. The record is from RefSeq and is a predicted model, not a curated record.